This is a non-coding RNA of Camellia sinensis, 533 nucleotides long. The record is from RefSeq and is a predicted model, not a curated record. NCBI's taxonomy places the organism in Eukaryota, Viridiplantae, Streptophyta, Magnoliopsida, Ericales, Theaceae.
GUACAUAUGCAAGGAUAGUAUAACCAUCCCUCUCUCUCUCUAGUAAGAUGGUGAACAACAGGGCUUUAGUUCUUACCACUUAUUGUUGCUCCCUCUUCAUUUGGUUCCUCUUCAUUUCGAGUGCUAUGGCUGCAAGACAAUUAUCCACUGUUUCUCAAACCGCAGCAUUCCAUUCAAACAAUUGUCCUGUGAUCAACCCCGAACCAAGUAAGCCACCUACAGCCCCUGGCUGCAGAGCAAAAUCUGAAACAAACCCCUAAAAAGAGAGAAGAGAAGAGAAGUGAAGCAAACCAUGUCAUAUUACUUCCAAGGGAAUUAGAAAGGACCUUAAAUUUGCUAUCCCUUACUUUUUUGUUAACUUUUUUUCUUUUUUCAGUUCUUAUAAUAAGGAAGAGUCCCGGUGUGGUUUCUUAUAUGUCUAUAUUGCCAAAAUUAUAUUGCCCUUUGAGCUUUGUGUAAGUGUGUUUGGAUUCUCAAGUCACUAUUUCACAAUAAAUAGAAUUUAUAUUAAUACAAUGUUUCUGUAUUUUUUA